GGAAACGACUGCUAAUACCCGAUGUGCCGCAAGGUGAAACCUAAUUGGCCUGGAGAAGAGCUUGCGUCUGAUUAGCUAGUUGGUGGGGUAAGAGCCUACCAAGGCGACGAUCAGUAGCUGGUCUGAGAGGAUGAGCAGCCACACUGGGACUGAGACACGGCCCAGACUCCUACGGGAGGCAGCAGUGGGGAAUUUUCCGCAAUGGGCGAAAGCCUGACGGAGCAACGCCGCGUGAGGGAGGAAGGUCUUUGGAUUGUAAACCUCUUUUCUCAAGGAAGAAGUUCUGACGGUACUUGAGGAAUCAGCCUCGGCUAACUCCGUGCCAGCAGCCGCGGUAAUACGGGGGAGGCAAGCGUUAUCCGGAAUUAUUGGGCGUAAAGCGUCCGCAGGUGGUCAGCCAAGUCUGCCGUCAAAUCAGGUUGCUUAACGACCUAAAGGCGGUGGAAACUGGCAGACUAGAGAUCAGUAGGGGUAGCAGGAAUUCCCAGUGUAGCGGUGAAAUGCGUAUAGAUUGGGAAGAACAUCGGUGGCGAAAGCGUGCUACUGGGCUGUAUCUGACACUCAGGGACGAAAGCUAGGGGAGCGAAAGGGAUUAGAUACCCCUGUAGUCCUAGCCGUAAACGAUGGAUACUACGCGUGGCUUGUAUCGACCCGAGCCGUGCCGAAGCUAACGCGUUAAGUAUCCCGCCUGGGGAGUACGCACGCAAGUGUGAAACUCAAAGGAAUUGACGGGGGCCCGCACAAGCGGUGGAGUAUGUGGUUUAAUUCGAUGCAACGCGAAGAACCUUCCCAAGACUUGACAUGUCGCGAACCCUGGUGAAAGCUGGGGGUGCCUUCGGGAGCGCGAACACAGGUGGUGCAUGGCUGUCGUCAGCUUGUGUCGUGAGAUGUUGGGUUAAGUCCCGCAACGAGCGCAACCCUCGUUCUUAGUUGCCAGCAUUAAGUUGGGGACUUUAAGGAGACUGCCGGUGACAAACCGGAGGAAGGUGGGGAUGACGUCAAGUCAGCAUGCCCCUUACGUCUUGGGCGACACACGUACUACAAUGGUCGGGACAAAGGGC
Molecule: ribosomal RNA, 1061 nt
Filed under: Microcystis aeruginosa AWQC-MIC024
Lineage: Bacteria; Bacillati; Cyanobacteriota; Cyanophyceae; Chroococcales; Microcystaceae
Description: bacterial SSU rRNA
Rfam family: Bacterial small subunit ribosomal RNA
Source: RNAcentral